CUAAGUUUGAUGGCGACCGGCGCACGGGCGAGUAACACGUAUCCAACCUGCCGAUGACUCGGGGAUAGCCUUUCGAAAGAAAGAUUAAUACCCGAUGGCAUAGUUCUUCCGCAUGGUGGAACUAUUAAAGAAUUUCGGUCAUCGAUGGGGAUGCGUUCCAUUAGGUUGUUGGCGGGGUAACGGCCCACCAAGCCUUCGAUGGAUAGGGGUUCUGAGAGGAAGGUCCCCCACAUUGGAACUGAGACACGGUCCAAACUCCUACGGGAGGCAGCAUG
This 275-nucleotide ribosomal RNA is filed under the name uncultured bacterium. Its description in RNAcentral is "partial 16S ribosomal RNA". It matches the Rfam family "Bacterial small subunit ribosomal RNA", at positions 79 to 353 of the family's 1533-position model. The record is from RNAcentral.